Molecule: non-coding RNA, 2626 nt
Organism: Podarcis muralis (Common wall lizard)
Lineage: Eukaryota; Metazoa; Chordata; Lepidosauria; Squamata; Lacertidae
Source: RefSeq, a predicted model, not a curated record
CAGGCCACCCGGAUCCCCUCCCCGCUCCCGCCUCUCCCCCUCGCUCCUCUCCGCCAAGAUGGCGGCGCCUCACCGGUGUCUCUUCCCCUUCCCCUCGUGGAGGGAAAAGGGGUGGAAAUGACCACGGGAGAGGAGGAAUCGCGUUUCUAAUGCUCCUCCGCUUUUUUUUUUUAAAGGCAGAUAAACCUCUGAAAGUAGGAAAUUAGCUUAGUGGAGAGGAGGGACUACGAGAUCACAAGCUUUUCUUCCUUCUGUGCUAUUUCUUUGUUUUUUUUAAAAGGGGACCUUUGACACAAAGGUGGGUUAAAAAUACCCCAAAACAGAACAAAGAAGCCCUCUCCCAAAAGCUCCUUGGUGCCGUCUCCCAGGUCUAGGUGUCACAAGCCACAACUGCUACACAUCUCUGGGCACAUGAAAUGACAAUGCAGCAGUUUAAGCAUGAGUUGUAGAUAUAUUCAAAGAGGUGAAAAGUAAUAUCUGACAGUGCAGAUUCCUAGGUUGCCUCUCAUGGCCAUUGUAGCCAAGUGACCAUUAAUAUUACUGCACCAAUGGAGUAGCAGGCAAGUAUCCAACUGCCAUUUUGCUUUGUUUACUGCAAUUACAUUUGAUACAGUCUGCCCUCGGAGCAACUAUUUAGACCCCAUUGGGCAUCGCAUGCAUGUCCCAGUCCAACGAGGGAGAUCUGUGUAUUGAGGAAAGCUUUCAUGUGCAUAGUGGACGCACCUGGAUCACACAACCACAUUGCAUUGUUCACCAAGGCCCUGCUGAUGGGUGGAUGUGUCCUUUGAUGCAGCUGGCAUUGCACACCCCCACCCAGCCCCACCAGCUGUUAUGCACAAUUAAGAGCUGGAUCAAGGCCAGAAGCAAUUAACAAGUUCUCCUGCUGAAACUUCACUUGUGACUCUGUCCUCUUGGAACACAACACAACACUCCCUUCUUGGCCAAGAGAUGAAAGAAAAGAAUUAGGAACAUUCUUACGCUUUGGAGCAGAAUAAAAUAAAACCUGGGAACUUUGGGAAUAGCUUUUGGGGGAGGAGAUGUUUAUUUCUUCCUGCGGAACUUUACUCUGCCCAUAAUUAUAAAGAGCACUUAAAGGCCAAGGAUUUGCAACCCCAGGUGGAAAAUGUCCAUUUUGAAACGAACAGUUGGGUAAGUACAUAUGGUUCCCAAUGCAUUUUGAGGAAACUAGAAAUAGCACCACUUUCAUUUUGAUUACCCCAAAUGUUUACAUAUAUGUAAUAUAGUCCACCUGCCAAAGUGAAUUUUAUUUGUAGCAGGAUGUGAUCCAUGUUUUCUUUUGACCAUGGAGGAAAUAUUAUAUGUAAUCUUGUUUCCUAAAUAUGUUAGGUUGGAUGCUGAAUCCCUAAGAAUAUAUAAAAAUGGAAAUGUUUAAUGCUUCUUCAUUAAAAACUGCUCUGGACUGGUGUUUAUAAAGAAACAUGAAGAGGCCUUUGAAACAUGUAGGGAACCAUAUUUACUUGUGCAUCUGCCCAUUUUGUUUUCCAGAAAAAGCAGCUACCAUACCUUGCACAUGGGGUGUAUGACAUUGAACUUGUAGCCCUUCUGUUCUUGAUCGAAUUCCAUCAGCAUCAGCCAGCAUGAACAAUGGUCAGGGAUAAUGGGAAUUGUAGUCCAAUGACGUCUGGAGGGCUACAGGUUCAUCACCCCUGGUGUAUGAUUUUGUCAGCAGAGCAGCUGUUACAGCACAGCAUCAUUAUAGUGAUAUAUAGAGGGGAUUUCACACUAAACCUAGUCCAGUUUAAUCAGCAUUCAACCGGGAUAUGCUCAUAUAAUUACAAAUUCUCUACCAUAACCUCCCCUUCAGUUUGGCUGUUCUCGCAAGGCAUGUUUUGUUUUAAAAGCCCACGUGCUCCUGUGCGGUUCACUGCAGACUGAGACUUCAUUGUGUUUCCUUUUCUCACCAAUUAUUUUAUUUUGGCACUUUUGAAAACCUCCACUUUGCAGUAUUAAUCCUUUUCAACAACAAACAAGUCAGUUGCUUCGUCAGGUCUCUGGGCAUUGAAUCAAAAUAGGAAAAGACAGUCUGUCAAGUGUGUUCUGUGCAUCGGUGAUUAGAAGCUAGCCACAGAAACACUUUCAAGCUAUGGAGAAGAAAUUAAUUAUCAAAGACUGCAUAUAUACAUAAAGGAACUAUUAUAUGCUCAUUGCAACUACAUUGCAGUAGAUUUGUGCACUAUGGGUUGUGGACAUGUUCCCCUUGGGGGGUAGAUUUCUGAAUUUCUCUAACUUUAAGAUUGCAGUCUAAAGUAAGAAAUGGGGAAGUUGGUGGGAGCGGUGAUCACAGAGAUAUGGGACAAGGAGAGGCUAUGAAUAUUUCCCUCUUAUUCAACCAACAAAGUUAAAUUUUUAUUUUAUUAUAAAUAUGACUAGUGUGUCUGAGAUUAGACAGGCACCCUCCUUGCUGAGCUUCAGACACUCCGGUUGGAUUUUAUGGAUGCUUGGCAGGCUCAGAGAUGUGACAGGAACAUCCAGUGGGCAAUAGGAUAAAUGUUGCUUAAAUGUUUACUUAAGCAGCUCAUGACUGGCUUUCAAAAUAACAGUAAAGCAGUAUUAAUAUAUUCAGUUGAUUCUUCUUUAUGUCCUUAAUUAAAACAGGUUCAACACA